This 282-nucleotide long non-coding RNA is filed under the name Lathyrus oleraceus (garden pea). RNAcentral's name for it is "Pisum sativum (pea) long non-coding RNA (PSAT_LNC034242)". Lineage: Eukaryota; Viridiplantae; Streptophyta; Magnoliopsida; Fabales; Fabaceae. The record is from RNAcentral.
UUGGUUCAAAUUAAUCAAAGGCCCAUGUUAGCAAUCCAUACUCAUUUCUAAUAUCCAAUCAUAAAAUAGAAAUUUAAAUAAAUAGUUAAAUAGAAAAUCAGAAAAUAUUAAAAAAUAUCUCUUUCAAUCCAACCAUACUCAUUUCUAAUAUCCAAUCAUAAAAUAGAAAUUUAAAUAAAUAGUUAAAUAGAAAAUCAGAAAAUAUUAAAAAAUAUCUCUUUCAAUCCAAUUGUCAGGUGCCACGUGGCAAUCUUAUCUUAUUGUGAGUGGUACAUGGCUGGC